UACGUAGGUGGCAAGCGUUAUCCGGAAUUAUUGGGCGUAAAGAGCGCGCAGGUGGUUAAUUAAGUCUGAUGUGAAAGCCCACGGCUUAACCGUGGAGGGUCAUUGGAAACUGGUUGACUUGAGUGCAGAAGAGGGAAGUGGAAUUCCAUGUGUAGCGGUGAAAUGCGUAGAGAUAUGGAGGAACACCAGUGGCGAAGGCGGCUUCCUGGUCUGCAACAGACACUGAGGCGCGAAAGCGUGGGGAGCAAACAGG
This 253-nucleotide ribosomal RNA is filed under the name uncultured bacterium. RNAcentral's name for it is "partial 16S ribosomal RNA". It matches the Rfam family "Bacterial small subunit ribosomal RNA", at positions 524 to 776 of the family's 1533-position model. The record is from RNAcentral.